GAGCGCCGUAGCAAUACGGAGCGGCAGACGGGUGAGUAACGCGUGGGAACGUGCCCUUCAGUUCGGAAUAACUCAGGGAAACUUGAGCUAAUACCGGAUACGUCCGUAAGGAGAAAGAUUUAUCGCCGAGGGAUCGGCCCGCGUCCGAUUAGCUAGUUGGUGGGGUAAUGGCCCACCAAGGCGACGAUCGGUAGCUGGUCUGAGAGGAUGAUCAGCCUCAUUGGGACUGAGACACGGCCCAAACUCCUACGGGAGGCAGCAGUGGGGAAUAUUGGACAAUGGGCGCAAGCCUGAUCCAGCCAUGCCGCGUGGGUGAUGAAGGCCCUAGGGUUGUAAAGCCCUUUCGGCGGGGAAGAUAAUGACGGUACCCGCAGAAGAAGCCCCGGCUAACUUCGUG
This 397-nucleotide ribosomal RNA is filed under the name uncultured bacterium. RNAcentral describes it as "bacterial SSU rRNA". It matches the Rfam family "Bacterial small subunit ribosomal RNA", at positions 64 to 507 of the family's 1533-position model. The record is from RNAcentral.